Molecule: long non-coding RNA, 1273 nt
Organism: Neofelis nebulosa (Clouded leopard)
Lineage: Eukaryota; Metazoa; Chordata; Mammalia; Carnivora; Felidae
Exons: 5
Source: RefSeq, a predicted model, not a curated record
UUUUCCACGGUGCAGGGGUUUGGUGCUCUUAACCCCACACUGUUCAAGGCUCAACUGUACAACUAAAUCUACUCACAACACAAUGUGCUAUACCAGAAAGGGGUCAAUAGAAGAGUCCACUGAAAAUAUUCUGCUGGACCAGUUAAUGAUUGCUUUACACACACACACACACACACACACAGUCACAAGGUAGCACUGAAGAUCAGCGUUAUCACCCUCUUCAAGUAUAAUCUGGACACUGGUGGAUAUACUUGCAUGGCACGAGUUAGACUGCUCAGUUUUGGCAGUAAAAUUAUAGUCAUUUUGUUGUUGCUGUUUUUUGAUGGCUAGCAUCUGAUAAGCGGUAGAAAUCUGGUAACCAGAAACAGUGAUGCUCUGGAUACUAACAGAGAUGAUGGAAACAACAGGAUGAGCUGUGAAGGACGGUUGACAGCACUAAUGAAGUCAUUGCGUGGCUAAACCUUGUUCUGAAGACAGCUUCAGUCUCAAGGAAGAAAAUAACCUGGACUCCUAUUCUGAAAGACUUGACCCGUAAUAUAAAUCAGGGCACAAAAAACAGCACUGUCCAGUUGCAAUGACUAUCAUGAUGAGCCCCUGACCUUCAGCACUGAGUGCAAUUGAUCUAGCUAUUACUGUUUACUUAAUGGAAAAAUCUCUCUCCUGCUUUCAGAUUUGUCCCAAGGCUUAGCCACAAGAAUACCUCUUGUGCACUAAGGAGCAUGUACAAUUCCAGGUUUUAGAGAUUUAGCAGUGAAUAAGACAACUGGAAGAUAAAUGACAGAAGGGACAUCUGAGGCCUGGAGCGUGUACAGGGAAAGAGCUCUGACCAUGUCCAAAGUCAGGGUGUGCACACCCUACACAUCACUGAGUAUUUCACCUCUCAUUUGCUAUAUGCAGAAGCACAGGAACCCAUCCACCCUUGCUCAAGGAGUCAUGGUUUUGGAAGUUAUUCCCUACGAUCGCCUUGGAUGUGCUGCAAAUAAAGUUUCCUCUGUUUGACGACUCACCUGAUGCAGUUUCUAUCUGUGACUCACCAAGGAGUGAACUCACAUUAGUUCGGUUACAAUAGAGGGAGCGGCUAUCACCUGCUGACCUCACAUAGGUAGAUUCUACUUAAUUUUGCUGAUCGUCUUUCUCCUCACACGAAGAUGUAAACUCUGUGAAGAGAGUUUUCCUGUCUGUUUUGUUCAUGACCGCAUUCCCGGUGGGAGAACAGUGUCUGAUAACUAGUAGGUGCUCAGUGAGUGUUUAUUAAAGAAAUCACUGGACUGAA